AUGUGGAUCCUGAGAGCGCUCCCAAGUAGGCAUUUGCCCCGGUGGGACACCUCGCCAGAGCAGUGUGUGGCAGGCCCCCAUGGAGAAUCAAUGCGGGAGCUGAACACCGGGAAGGAACAGGCACUUGGAGGCUGGACAUCUAAAACUUGCCAGGUGUGGUGGCGCAUGCCUGUAGUUCCAGCUAUUCAAUAGGCUGGUGCAGAAAGAUCAUUUGAGACAAGGAGAUUGAGGCUGCAGUGAGCUGUGAUCACACCACUGUACUCCAGGCUGGGUGACAGAGAAAUACUUCAUUUUGAAAAAAAAGAAAAAAGAAAAAAGUAAGUCUUCUAAUCCAUGAGCAUGAAAUGUCUUUCCAUUAAUUUUGAUCUUCUUUAUUUUUUAAGCAAUAUUCUAUAAUUUUCAAUGCGUAAAUCUUUCACUUAUUUUGUUUAUUCCUAUUUUGUCCUUUGUAAUGCUAUUGUUAAUGGAAUUUUCUUAACUUUUAGAUUGUUCAUUGCUACUGUUUAGAAAUACAAUUAUUUUUGUGUGCAGGUAUUGUAUACUAAAACCAUGCUGAACUCAUUUAUUAACUCUGAUAAGGUAUUUUUAUGAAUUCCUUAGAAUUUUCUACACACAAGUGCAUAUCAUCUGUGAAUAGAGAUACUUUAACUUCUUUCAUUACAAUCUCAUGUCUUUUAUUUUCUUGCCAACUGUCCUGGGUCGAAACUAUAGUACAGUGUUAAAUAGAUGAUGUGAAAGUAGACAUUCUUGUUUUCUUGUUGAUCUCAGGGUAAAUCGUUGUCUGUAACUAUUAAGUAUGAUGUUGGCCAUGAGUUUUCAUAGAUGUUCUUUAUGUAGGAUGAGGAAAUCUCUUUCUAUUCCUAGUUUGUGGAGUGCUUUUCAUCAUAAAGGGUGUUAUAUUUUGUCAAAUACUCUUUUUGUAUCUAUUGACAUGAUCGUAUGGCUUUUGUCCAUUUAAUAUUGUUUAUUACAUUGACUGAUUUUGGAAUGUUAAACCAAUCUUGAAUUCCUGUGAUAAAUCUCCCUGGUCAUGGUGUGUGGUCUUUUUUAUAUGUUGCUAGAUUAGGGUCUUGAGAAUUUUUGUGUCUCUAUUCAUAACAGAUAUUGUACUGUAGUUUUCUUUUUUUGUGAUGUCCUUUUCUGAUUUUGAUAUCAGGUGAAAACUGACUCCAUAGAAUAAAUUGGGAAGCAUUCCUUCUUAUUAUUUGGAA
RNAcentral lists this long non-coding RNA (1211 nucleotides) under Piliocolobus tephrosceles (Ugandan red Colobus). RNAcentral's name for it is "lncRNA (ENSPTEG00000010718.1)". Lineage: Eukaryota; Metazoa; Chordata; Mammalia; Primates; Cercopithecidae. The record is from RNAcentral.